UUCGCUCUGGAAGCUCACCGGCAACCUAGUUCUGUCUUAAGAUUUUUAAAAAUGUACUGUAAACUUAUUUCUCUGCAGUUGACAAAAAAAAAAGGAGACCUUAGUGUAGCCACCUUUCUGUGAAAAUCUUAAGGAAACCAAACACCUUUUUAGACUUUUUACAAUCGUUAAACCAAAACAAAAAUUUUACAAACUGUAACAAGUGUUAAGUGCCUACCAGGUUCCAAGAUUGCAAACCUAAGUGAAUAGGAAAAUAUUGGACCACAGAGUGAAGUAAUGAGAAGAAACUAAUUCUGUAGAUAAGAUGAUGCCUCGAUUUUAGGUAAAGGUACCAACCAGCUGGCGAGACACAGGAGAAAACUUUCUGACUGACUCGGAAAUGGAAGUCUGAGAGUUAACUUUAUCAGGGUUAACUUUACAUGUCAAGAUCAACUCAUGAAUGGCACUGAGCUAUUGACGUUAAAAGCAGUGAAGGCCAACCAGCUGAGUAAUAACCAUUGCCGUGGAGACCAGAGGACCUGGGAACACUGUGCUGAUCUCAGGAUCCUUGCUAAUCCCUUUUUCUGUACAGCCCAGAUGCCACCUUGGGGAGGAGGUGGGGGAAAAAAAAUCAAGUCACUAGGAUACGGAAUGAUGGCGUGAAGACCAGAAGGUCAUCUGAGAAGCUUGUUUAUCAUACCCACUAAGUAAUCCAAUCUGCCUUCACAUUCCUUCUCUUUAAAAUGAGGAUGAA
Odocoileus virginianus texanus is the source of this 733-nucleotide non-coding RNA. The record is from RefSeq and is a predicted model, not a curated record. NCBI's taxonomy places the organism in Eukaryota, Metazoa, Chordata, Mammalia, Artiodactyla, Cervidae.